UGGGGAAUCUUGGACAAUGGGGGCAACCCUGAUCCAGCCAUGCCGCGUGAGUGAAGAAGGCCUUAGGGUCGUAAAGCUCUUUCGCCUGUGAAGAUAAUGACGGUAGCAGGUAAAGAAACCCCGGCUAACUCCGUGCCAGCAGCCGCGGUAAUACGGAGGGGGUUAGCGUUGUUCGGAAUUACUGGGCGUAAAGCGCGCGUAGGCGGACCAGAAAGUUGGGGGUGAAAUCCCGGGGCUCAACCCCGGAACUGCCUCCAAAACUCCUGGUCUUGAGUUCGAGAGAGGUGAGUGGAAUUCCGAGUGUAGAGGUGAAAUUCGUAGAUAUUCGGAGGAACACCAGUGGCGAAGGCGGCUCACUGGCUCGAUACUGACGCUGAGGUGCGAA
This 385-nucleotide ribosomal RNA is filed under the name uncultured bacterium. RNAcentral's name for it is "bacterial SSU rRNA". It matches the Rfam family "Bacterial small subunit ribosomal RNA", at positions 355 to 757 of the family's 1533-position model. The record is from RNAcentral.